GAUGAAGAACGCAGCGAAAUGCGAUAAGUAGUGUGAAUUGCAGAAUUCAGUGAAUCAUCGAAUCUUUGAACGCACAUUGCGCCCCUUGGUAUUCCAUGGGGCAUGCCUGUUCGAGCGUCAUUUGUACCUUCAAGCUUUGCUUGGUGUUGGGUGUUUGUCUCGCCUCUGCGUGUAGACUCGCCUUAAAACAAUUGGCAGCCGGCGUAUUGAUUUCGGAGCGCAGUACAUCUCGCGCUUUGCACUCAUAACGACGACGUCCAAAAGUACAUUUUUACACUCUUGACCUCGGAUCAGGUAGGGAUACCCGCUGAACUUAAGCAUAUCAAAAGCGGAGGA
This 336-nucleotide unclassified non-coding RNA is filed under the name soil metagenome. Its description in RNAcentral is "partial contains 5.8S ribosomal RNA, internal transcribed spacer 2, and large subunit ribosomal RNA". The stretch from base 1 to 120 matches the Rfam family "5.8S ribosomal RNA", at positions 35 to 154 of the family's 154-position model. The record is from RNAcentral.